Molecule: ribosomal RNA, 1554 nt
Filed under: Escherichia coli
Lineage: Bacteria; Pseudomonadati; Pseudomonadota; Gammaproteobacteria; Enterobacterales; Enterobacteriaceae
Description: bacterial SSU rRNA
Rfam family: Bacterial small subunit ribosomal RNA
Source: RNAcentral
UUAAAUUGAAGAGUUUGAUCAUGGCUCAGAUUGAACGCUGGCGGCAGGCCUAACACAUGCAAGUCGAACGGUAACAGGAAACAGCUUGCUGUUUCGCUGACGAGUGGCGGACGGGUGAGUAAUGUCUGGGAAACUGCCUGAUGGAGGGGGAUAACUACUGGAAACGGUAGCUAAUACCGCAUAACGUCGCAAGACCAAAGAGGGGGACCUUCGGGCCUCUUGCCAUCGGAUGUGCCAGAUGGGAUUAGCUAGUAGGUGGGGUAACGGCUCACCUAGGCGACGAUCCCUAGCUGGUCUGAGAGGAUGACCAGCCACACUGGAACUGAGACACGGUCCAGACUCCUACGGGAGGCAGCAGUGGGGAAUAUUGCACAAUGGGCGCAAGCCUGAUGCAGCCAUGCCGCGUGUAUGAAGAAGGCCUCGGGUUGUAAAGUACUUUCAGCGGGGAGGAAGGGAGUAAAGUUAAUACCUUUGCUCAUUGACGUUACCCGCAGAAGAAGCACCGGCUAACUCCGUGCCAGCAGCCGCGGUAAUACGGAGGGUGCAAGCGUUAAUCGGAAUUACUGGGCGUAAAGCGCACGCAGGCGGUUUGUUAAGUCAGAUGUGAAAUCCCCGGGCUCAACCUGGGAACUGCAUCUGAUACUGGCAAGCUUGAGUCUCGUAGAGGGGGGUAGAAUUCCAGGUGUAGCGGUGAAAUGCGUAGAGAUCUGGAGGAAUACCGGUGGCGAAGGCGGCCCCCUGGACGAAGACUGACGCUCAGGUGCGAAAGCGUGGGGAGCAAACAGGAUUAGAUACCCUGGUAGUCCACGCCGUAAACGAUGUCGACUUGGAGGUUGUGCCCUUGAGGCGUGGCUUCCGGAGCUAACGCGUUAAGUCGACCGCCUGGGGAGUACGGCCGCAAGGUUAAAACUCAAAUGAAUUGACGGGGGCCCGCACAAGCGGUGGAGCAUGUGGUUUAAUUCGAUGCAACGCGAAGAACCUUACCUGGUCUUGACAUCCACGGAAGUUUUCAGAGAUGAGAAUGUGCCUUCGGGAACCGUGAGACAGGUGCUGCAUGGCUGUCGUCAGCUCGUGUUGUGAAAUGUUGGGUUAAGUCCCGCAACGAGCGCAACCCUUAUCCUUUGUUGCCAGCGGUCCGGCCGGGAACUCAAAGGAGACUGCCAGUGAUAAACUGGAGGAAGGUGGGGAUGACGUCAAGUCAUCAUGGCCCUUACGACCAGGGCUACACACGUGCUACAAUGGCGCAUACAAAGAGAAGCGACCUCGCGAGAGCAAGCGGACCUCAUAAAGUGCGUCGUAGUCCGGAUUGGAGUCUGCAACUCGACUCCAUGAAGUCGGAAUCGCUAGUAAUCGUGGAUCAGAAUGCCACGGUGAAUACGUUCCCGGGCCUUGUACACACCGCCCGUCACACCAUGGGAGUGGGUUGCAAAAGAAGUAGGUAGCUUAACCUUCGGGAGGGCGCUUACCACUUUGUGAUUCAUGACUGGGGUGAAGUCGUAACAAGGUAACCGUAGGGGAACCUGCGGUUGGAUCACCUCCUUACCUUAAAGAAGC